UCUUCUUCUCUAUAAACAACUCUAUAAAUAAAUUCAUUAAAAUUACUACAAAUCAUAGAACAUUGUUGAUUCCCAUCUAUAAAUUCUAUAAAAUCUUUAUAGUAUUCAUGAUUUGGAUAUUGAGUGAUAGUAGCAAAUACCAUUGACUUAGAGAGAGUAUUCCAAAGAAAUCUGCAUAAAUAAUUCAAAAAAUAAUAUUUGUAAAAAAUUUAACAAUUUUAAUCAAAGACAACUUAUAUUUGUAAAAAUUCAAAAAUACAUCAAGAAUAGAAAUUCAGAUCUUUGUGUGUGGAGACCCUUGGAUCUCCACGCACGGGAACCGUUCUUCUACACUCGUGAACUAAAUUUCUCAAAUAAAUGUUUACCUUUUCCAGCUGUGGGUAGAGAUUCUUCUACUGGAC
RNAcentral lists this long non-coding RNA (401 nucleotides) under Olea europaea (common olive). RNAcentral's name for it is "long non-coding RNA (OEUR_LNC007622)". Lineage: Eukaryota; Viridiplantae; Streptophyta; Magnoliopsida; Lamiales; Oleaceae. The record is from RNAcentral.